Molecule: ribosomal RNA, 460 nt
Filed under: uncultured bacterium
Lineage: Bacteria
Description: partial 16S ribosomal RNA
Rfam family: Bacterial small subunit ribosomal RNA
Source: RNAcentral
CCUACGGGUGGCUGCAGUGAGGAAUAUUGGUCAAUGGACGAGAGUCUGAACCAGCCAAGUAGCGUGAAGGAUGACUGCCCUAUGGGUUGUAAACUUCUUUUAUAUGGGAAUAAAAUGUUCCACGUGUGGGGUUUUGUAUGUACCAUAUGAAUAAGGAUCGGCUAACUCCGUGCCAGCAGCCGCGGUAAUACGGAGGAUCUGAGCGUUAUCCGGAUUUAUUGGGUUUAAAGGGAGCGUAGGUGGAUUGUUAAGUCAGUUGUGAAAGUUCGCGGCUCAACCGUAAGAUUGCAGUUGAAACUGGCGGUCUUGAGUACAGUAGAGGUAGACGGAAUGCGUGGUGUAGCGGUGAAAUGCUUAGAUAUCACGAAGAACUCCGAUUGCGAAGGCGGUCUGCUGGACAGCAACUGACGCUGAGGCGCGAAAGCGUGGGGAGCAAACAGGAUUAGAUACCCUAGUAGUC